UGAUAUAAAUAAUUGCUAAAGAAAAUACUACUAUCAUACCUCUACAAUAUAACUAAAAGGCUAGGGCUAUUAUACUCUUAUAAGUAUAGGGCCCUUUGUACUCAUAAGUUUCCAGCAGUUGGAUGAAGAGAUAUGCGUUUAGGAUGAUAGUGGUCCCCAGUUAUAAUGAUAGUAGUCUCCUAGGGUUGAGCGGGUGGUUGGUUGAAUAGUAUGAUAUAACGGAUGAAAAUGAUCAAAGAGGUAGAUCUAAUGGCAAAAAACUUAUGAUUACAAAGAAACAUAUACUCAUAAGAGUGUAUAGUAGUUGGACCCUAACUAAAUAUUGUUAAUCACAUAUUUCAUGCAUCAAUUAAAUACUGAAUAAGCGGGUAG
RNAcentral lists this long non-coding RNA (372 nucleotides) under Ananas comosus (pineapple). Its description in RNAcentral is "long non-coding RNA (ACOM_LNC037345)". Lineage: Eukaryota; Viridiplantae; Streptophyta; Magnoliopsida; Poales; Bromeliaceae. The record is from RNAcentral.